GGGGAUAUAGCUCAGUUGGUAGAGUGCUUGCCUAGCAUGCACAAGGCCCUGGGUUCAAUCCCCAGCACCACCC
This 73-nucleotide transfer RNA is filed under the name Ictidomys tridecemlineatus (thirteen-lined ground squirrel). RNAcentral's name for it is "Spermophilus tridecemlineatus (thirteen-lined ground squirrel) tRNA". It matches the Rfam family "tRNA". Rfam says of the family: Transfer RNA (tRNA) molecules are approximately 80 nucleotides in length. Their secondary structure includes four short double-helical elements and three loops (D, anti-codon, and T loops). RNAcentral also lists the same sequence under 1 other name. The record is from Rfam by way of RNAcentral. Lineage: Eukaryota; Metazoa; Chordata; Mammalia; Rodentia; Sciuridae.